AGGGUAGUUUAGCGCACAGUGGGUGCGAUGCUUGGAACUGAUCUUCGCCCUAACAAUUUAUGUCAAUUUUACUCUUGGUGUUACGCUUUUCUUCCUCAUGGUGAGAGACACUUUACUGUGGGGCUAGCGGCUGUCUACUGGGCCAUUUGGAACCGCAGAAAUCAGGCUACUUUUGAAUUCAAGAAAUUGUCAUCUCCUUUUGAGAUUAUCUUCAUGGCUUGCACACAUUUAUCUUACUGGGCAGGUCUGCUGAAAAGCGAAGGACGAGCGGAGCUGGAGCAUGGCGCGACACUUCUGAAGAGGAAUGCUAAGGAGUUGAUGAGCCUCUGCACAACUGCGUACACAGGAACCACCCUGGGAUGA
Molecule: ribosomal RNA, 363 nt
Filed under: Triticum aestivum (bread wheat)
Lineage: Eukaryota; Viridiplantae; Streptophyta; Magnoliopsida; Poales; Poaceae
Description: partial small subunit ribosomal RNA
Source: RNAcentral